GUCACACCCUGACCUAACCAAAAUAAUAAAGAAAACAUAGAAUACUAAAGUCAGGGCGUGACAGCAACGCUAGCUUGCAACAAUCAGUGGUGUCAACAACACCUCAUAAGAUAAGGAAGUACAUUGUUUAUGAGGAUUGCCUGCUGUAGUUGCUCAAGAAAUGUCCAGUUUGCAGCCGAACGUGCAGCAUAGUGAAGACCAGCAAGGGGACCCUCAACAUCACACAGACAUGCCCUCGCCUAUGAGCAGUCCUAUAAAUGGAACAGGGAGGAUACUUGAAUCAGUAUCUUUGAAGAGGAGUCAGGAGCUGAUCUACGCUGCCAUGUCUGUCAAUGGGGUGCAGGCAAUGACCUUACCUCUAGUCUCUCCUCUUGUCUGCUCACCAACGGUUGUCGAUGGAGAGACCUGAAUUAGAUGCAUCUAUGGAGUCAGCAUUUGGAGACUUGGUCCGGACCAACAGACAGGCUUGAUACUGACGUCUCUGAAUGGGAAGAGACCUGGCACUCAAGGCAUCCACACUGUGGGACUGAAGGUGAUUACUAAUAAUGCAGUCCAGAAGAAAUGUCCAUUAUUUGCGUCACCCUUUUUAUUAUGUGUCACUGAUGAACUCCGCCUCAACUUGACCUAUUUCUACAAAUGGAGAGGACUGUGGAUGCUUUUGCCAGAUGCCAGCCUUGUUCGUUUGAUGGGGAGACCAUAAUAGGAAAGGUUUUAUCUGACCUGUUCAAACUUCAACUAGUACCUGUUUGUGUGUAAAAUAUUACCUAUCCUAACUGCCAUUGGUAAUAGAACAAUGACUAUGUGUGUAUGUGUUCAUAGAAACAUGUAUGGAGACUUGUAAGAUGAUGUGAUGAAGUCCAGACUGACAGACUGAUGUCUCUAAAUGGAGAGAGACCUGGCACUCGGCAUUCACAUUUUACUAGACACAGCUUUUACUUGUGUUGUCUUUUUUUUAAAUGAUUGAAUUGGAAUGUCAGUCAAUAUGAGACGAGAAAAACACUGUAUUCUGCACCAAGAUCAGGGAACUCCUGUUGUAUACGGGACACCACACUGGAAGGUAUGACCACUCUGACAUGUUAGCCAAGGUAGCCCCAUUACCACCAGACAAAAUGUCAUUAGGCACGAUAUCUGUAUCAUUGCUAUAUUAGCUGAACACUGCUUCUACGGUAUUAUGUAAAAGUUGUUGGAACUGUUACUACAUUUGAAAGUUAUCAAAACACUUCAUUUAGAAUAUCUACGUAAAUUCUGCAAUUGCAUUCUUCUCAUAUUACUCUGUAGGUCAGUGGUUCCCAACCUUUUCGGUUACUGUACUACCAACAGAAUUUUGCUCUUCCCGGAGUACCCUUGAAGUACCCCUCAUAUGCAUUUGACCUGGUCUCAUGAGUCUUCUCAAGUACUACCUAUGGAUAGGCCGAGUACCCCCAUGGGUCCUAGUACCCCUGGUUGGGAACCACUGCUGUAGGCUACUGACCUAUUCGAAGCUUCCUCUGUCAUCUCACCAUACAUCUGUCAGUAGUUAUUGAACUCAAACUACAGGAGAUUUGUUUGUUGUGAUUGAGUGGGGAAAAAUAAAUGCAGGAAAUGUUGUAAUAGAUUGGUGUGUCUUGGUGGUGGCAAGGACACACCCAAGAAACACCCACAU
This is a long non-coding RNA of Oncorhynchus kisutch (coho salmon), 1642 nucleotides long. RefSeq lists it as uncharacterized. The transcript is spliced from 4 exons. The record is from RefSeq and is a predicted model, not a curated record. Lineage: Eukaryota; Metazoa; Chordata; Actinopteri; Salmoniformes; Salmonidae.